GAUAUCUAGAGAAGAUUUCUUUAGCUCUCUGUCUGUAAGACUCAUCCAAUCUGUUCACUCUUGUAACAUGGUAAGAGACAUGGAUGAUGGAAGGGAUCUCCUAAGAACUGAGAGUUAAGCCCAUACUUAACAUCUAGGAGCAUGUGUUUAUAUGUAUUACAUUUAUGCUGGAGGACAUGUUGGUCAGAAGAAGAUCAAAAGGUACCAUCAGAUUCUUUGGAACUGUACUCCCAAGCAAUUAUGAGUUGACACAUGGAUGCUGAGAAUCAAAUUCAUUUUCUGAUACCAGUAAGCAUUUUUAUCUGUUGAGUCAUCUCUCCAGCUCCCAAAUCUCUUUUGCAUUAACCACAUCCUGGUUACAAUAUAUCAUUCUUCACCAAAUACCUAAAUGUUUCCUGAACAUUUUGGAGGCUAGAUGCUUCAAGAUGAUUAGUGCCUCAAGUCAGCAAAAAUGAAGACCCAAACAAAUGGUACUUCUGAUAAAGGAAAGUCAUUUUGUUGUUACUUUCCCUGAUAAUUGCAUGUAAUAGUACUU
Long non-coding RNA from Mus musculus (house mouse), 535 nucleotides. RefSeq annotates it as predicted gene, 40203. NCBI's taxonomy places the organism in Eukaryota, Metazoa, Chordata, Mammalia, Rodentia, Muridae. The record is from RefSeq and is a predicted model, not a curated record. The transcript is spliced from 3 exons.